GAGCAGAGCUCUCCAGUGGUCAGACUGUGCAACUGCAGCUGCUCAGGUACACUUUAAAAAUGAAAAUAUAGAAAAAUAAAAAUGUUUAAAUAUUUAAAAAUAUAAAAAAUAGAUGUUUGUGUCAGAGGAAACCAAAGGAGAUGAUCUCAAACUGCUUUCAGACAACAAGAAGAAGCUGAAGCAGGAAGGUGAUGUGCAGGUGAGCAGCCGGUCCGAGUGUCCUGGUGUCUGUGAAGGUCGUGUUUAUUCUGGCAGAUGUUUGAUCACCUGCAGACGUGACUUGGCGUCUCUUUACCGUCAGGCGAGCUGGUUUUGGAGGCAGUUUCUGACACCUCGCCCUCUUAUCCCGAAACAAAUGGCCUGGUUGGAAAAUUAAACCACACAGUCCAGAGGUGCAGUACUGCCAUUUGUAUUGAGUUUUGUGAUUACUUCACAAAACAGCAUAUUUCAGAUAUUUGUCUAAUGCAUAUUCAACCACUGUUGUUGGCCCCACCGUGUUUGACCUCCGCACUAAGACAUGACACUUCGUAAAUGUUCUUGUUUGGCAGAGAGGCAAGGUAUUAGUCACAGAUCCCAAAACAACUGCCAUGUAGGAGGCACAACAGGUUUGCAGCCAGUUUCAGCUACUCUGUGUUAUUCUAGUCCAAUAAGCAAUGGAGAGGUUUGUGAGGGUCCAACUGGUCACCUUGUAGGAAGGUUGUAAUAUUUGUACUUAGGAGAUUCAUAGUUACAUUAAAACACUGCGUGUGGUCUUCGCCCUGCAGCUGGAUCUGCUGAGCAGCCUGUGAGAAGUCGUGGUCCCUCUGACCUGCCAUUUCUACCCCUCCCUCCUCUGUCUAUGUCACAUUUCAUUUGUCACAUACACAAUCACACACAGUACGACAUGCAGUGAAAUGCUUAUUGCUGUGCAAUUCUGACCGUUAAAAAUACAAGAAGAACCUAAAAUUAAAAAGAUGUGCUACUUUGACAGCAAACAGUUGAAAACAGCUGCGGGUGCAUUACUGAAGUGCUUUAUUUUGUUAUUAAAUUCAUGUGAGGUGGUGUGUAGAGAGUCCAGUCCUACGCCUGGUUCAGGGCCCUAAAGCCUGGGGGAGAAGCUCCUCCUCGGUGUCUCUGUGUCGGCCUUUUGGGAGCGGAGGCGCUUCCGUGACCCCAACAGUGAGGAGAGUCUUGUCGGGCUGGGAGGGAUCUUCCUGGCUUUGGUGCUGCACCGCUCUGUGUAUACAAGGGGUAUCGAGCUCCAGGAUGGUCUCUGGGCUGUGACUUAAAGACAGUUUAGUUUUUGGAGGAUACUUGCCUGUGUUCGCCUAUCUGUCCAGGAAACCUGUGGAGCAGUUUUGGAAACAUUUCGGGAGACGCUGUGGAGAGAGGCUGGGUGUUGGAUUGCUGCACUGGGAGCUGGGAUUAACACCGCUGUGGACAUCAUGUUUGGGUACUAUUAUUGCGUCUUGCUCACCUGUAAAUAAACUCACUGUCUUUGUGACUGAGUCCUGUUUUUCUGCCUGUCGGUAAACCUGACAGAGAGUCCUUGUAAGCAAUCUUCAGACACGACCGUGGGACUUGGCGCUCCUCUCUGCCUGGGUGUCACUUCUUAAGGUGACAGAUCGGUGCUACUCCCUCCCUCAGUCAUGUCUCCCUGUCAAGUCCGCAUCUCUGUGUUGGGUUUCCUGUUUUACUUUGACAAU
This is a long non-coding RNA of Astatotilapia calliptera (eastern happy), 1685 nucleotides long. The record is from Ensembl. NCBI's taxonomy places the organism in Eukaryota, Metazoa, Chordata, Actinopteri, Cichliformes, Cichlidae.